RNAcentral lists this ribosomal RNA (524 nucleotides) under uncultured bacterium. Its description in RNAcentral is "partial 16S ribosomal RNA". It matches the Rfam family "Bacterial small subunit ribosomal RNA", at positions 28 to 523 of the family's 1533-position model. The record is from RNAcentral.
GACGAACGCUGGCGGCGUGCCUAAUACAUGCAAGUCGAGCGCAGGAAAUCGACGGAACCCUUCGGGGGGAAGUCGACGGAAUGAGCGGCGGACGGGUGAGUAACACGUAAAGAACCUGCCCUCAGGUCUGGGAUAACCACGAGAAAUCGGGGCUAAUACCGGAUGGGUCAUCGGACCGCAUGGUCCGAGGAUGAAAGGCGCUUCGGCGUCGCCUGGGGAUGGCUUUGCGGUGCAUUAGCUAGUCGGUGGGGUAAUGGCCCACCAAGGCGACGAUGCAUGGCCGACCUGAGAGGGUGAUCGGCCACACUGGGACUGAGACACGGCCCAGACUCCUACGGGAGGCAGCAGUAGGGAAUCUUCCACAAUGGACGAAAGUCUGAUGGAGCAACGCCGCGUGAACGAUGAAGGCCUUCGGGUCGUAAAGUUCUGUUGUAAGGGAAGAACAAGUGCCGCAGGCAAUGGCGGCACCUUGACGGUACCUUGCGAGAAAGCCACGGCUAACUACGUGCCAGCAGCCGCCGUAA